Molecule: long non-coding RNA, 835 nt
Organism: Gambusia affinis (western mosquitofish)
Lineage: Eukaryota; Metazoa; Chordata; Actinopteri; Cyprinodontiformes; Poeciliidae
Exons: 3
Source: RefSeq, a predicted model, not a curated record
UCUUGUAAAAAUAAACAUGUUUCCACCACCACUACCGCUGAUGUGAGGAGCGGCAAUGUUGAAACGCAAAGUUGUAACUGUGGGGAGUCGAUGUUGCUCCCAGUUUCCCAGUGGGAAAUCUGGAUUCGGAACACGUAACAGUCAGGAUUUCUCAGUUCAGAGUAAACCUUGAACGCAGCAUUACUACUUUGAACAUUGCAGUGUUGCUUUUACUUUCUUUAUGAGGUUAGUCCAAGUUAAGUCUCCUCUGGUGUUCCUAAUUGUCCCCAGCUGCAUGCUGUCUCCCAGUUCCCAUGCACCCGAUGAAUGAAGUUAGAAGCUCCCACCUUGCAGAGGAACCAUUUUCUCCUCCUGUCUGCAGACCACGGGAGAAUUUGAAGCUCAUGCAACCGACUCACAAGAAGCAACAGAGCAAAACAGCUGGGGCCUGCGGUCAAAAGUAGAUCAGAUAUUCACCUUCUUCUGCUCAUCUCAAGGGUUUAGAGAUAUUUUUUGUGGUGAAAUUAAGAUAUUUCCACACCCCUGUGCCCCUCCGACCGCAACCCCACUCUCAUUUUUCUUCAAGAUAUGUUGUUCGAAUGCAGCAGCGUGAUUAGAGGGGAAGUGCAUUCAAACUGAAAAAAGCAGAGCUGGAAGUCGAAGCCAGAGGUGAAAUACUUUGAGACGGGAUUCCCCAGGCUCCAUGAUAUCAGGGUGAAAUUGGCAGUGAUGUUGACCUGGGGAGCUCCUGGAGGAGGCAUUUUGACUAAAUCGAGCAGUCCUCCGCAGAACCAAGCCCAGCUCCGGUCCAACUGCAGCUGACGUUGUUAACAAAGUCAUUUGUGCAGACGAGUCC